AACCCGCACUCAGCAGCUAGUCUAACAAGUUCUACUUUAGGCUAAAUGAUUUUCUAUACUAGUCUCCGCCCCGUCACGUCAAUACACUUGAAAACGCCAUUUUGUAAAUCCAGUUCUCUGUCAACGUUGUUAUCAAAUAUGGUGUAUGGAUAUGUUUUUGGAUAUGUGCAUAUGUGUGAUGCCGUGUAUGUAACACAGGCACCGAAUUUCUCAUGCAAUGCACCGAAAAACUUUCAAGAGAUUUGCUGUGGAUGACAGAACCUGCCUCCAACUUCAACAUUUCACAGGAGGUGAUGGGAUGUGGGUGACACAACCUGCAUCCAACUUCUACAUUUCACAGGAGGUGAUGGGAUGUGGGUGACACAACCUGCAUCCAACUUCUACAUUUCACAGGAGGUGAUGGGUUGUGGAUGACAGAACCUGCAUCCAACUUCUACAUUUCACAGAAGGUGAUGGGAUGUAGAUGACAGAACCUGCAUCCAACUUUACCAUUUCACAGGAGGUGAUGGGAUGUGGAUGACACAACCUGCCUCCAACUUCACCAUUUCACAGGAGGUGAUGGGGUGUGGGUAACAUAACCUGCAUCCAACUUCAACAUUUCACAGGAGGUGAUGGGUUGUGGAUGACAGAACCUGCAUCUAACUUCACCAUUUCACAGGAGGUGAUGGGAUGUGGAUGAUACAACCUGCAUCCAACGGCAAGAUAAAUACUAUUAAAUAGUCGUAGUAAUGAUAAGUUGAUAACUGAAGGCGGACCAGAUUGCCUUAAUGCUAGCCCAUGCAAAUCCACAGUGUUUUAAUGCUAGCCCAUUCAAAUCCACAGUGUUUUAAUGCUAGCCCAUGCAGAUCCACAGUGUUUUAAAGCUGUUCCAUGUUGCACAAAAAGUCUGUUACAGAAACCUGUAGGGAACACAUGUAGUCUCUAAGACACGAGAAAACACUGGACUAAUGUCCUGAGCUGGAAUAAGUUCACUGACCACAUAUUCUUUGGGUCUUUAACUCACUAGUCUACACAGAAAAGGUAAUAGUGAAGUAUUCUAUAUGUUUAUUCAAAUUUGUUUAAUGUUACAUCAACACACUUUGCUAAAUUGUCAUCAUUUUUAAUCUAAAUUUAACAUAAAUAAAAGUAGUUGUUCCUAAA
This is a long non-coding RNA of Physella acuta, 1140 nucleotides long. RefSeq lists it as uncharacterized. NCBI's taxonomy places the organism in Eukaryota, Metazoa, Mollusca, Gastropoda, Physidae. The record is from RefSeq and is a predicted model, not a curated record.